Molecule: ribosomal RNA, 579 nt
Filed under: uncultured bacterium
Lineage: Bacteria
Description: partial 16S ribosomal RNA
Rfam family: Bacterial small subunit ribosomal RNA
Source: RNAcentral
UGGGGAAUUUUGGACAAUGGGCGAAAGCCUGAUCCAGCAAUGCCGCGUGUGUGAAGAAGGCCUUCGGGUUGUAAAGCACUUUUGUCCGGAAAGAAAUCCUUGGCUCUAAUACAGUCGGGGGAUGACGGUACCGGAAGAAUAAGCACCGGCUAACUACGUGCCAGCAGCCGCGGUAAUACGUAGGGUGCAAGCGUUAAUCGGAAUUACUGGGCGUAAAGCGUGCGCAGGCGGUUUGCUAAGACCGAUGUGAAAUCCCCGGGCUCAACCUGGGAACUGCAUUGGUGACUGGCAGGCUAGAGUAUGGCAGAGGGGGGUAGAAUUCCACGUGUAGCAGUGAAAUGCGUAGAGAUGUGGAGGAAUACCGAUGGCGAAGGCAGCCCCCUGGGCCAAUACUGACGCUCAUGCACGAAAGCGUGGGGAGCAAAACAGGAUUAGAUACCCCUGGGUAGUCCACGCCCUAAAACGAUGUCAACUAGUUGUUGGGGAUUCAUUUCCUUAGUAACGUAGCUAACGCGUGAAGUUGACCGCCUGGGGAGUACGGUCGCAAGAUUAAAACUCAAAGGAAUUGACGGGCUCAUA